UACAGAUUGGGCUUUAUUAUUGAAUUCAAAAGUUAUAGAAAAUAAAAUUCUGAACCAGACCAGGCCCGAUUGGAAUUUUGACCUCAUCACCAAAACAAAACAGUAAAAAAAAUGAAUAGCUGAAACGCCAAUAACUACUCCUAUGAAAUCCUAAAAAGCAGCAUAACUGAACCUUCUGGAAGCCAUUAAUGCUGCUAUACAAUCUUUCCCAAUCAGCAUCAUAACUUUCAAUCGUCUUGUCCCUUCACCUGCCUUAUCUUCUUCAAGACGAAAUCAUACUCCCGAGGAAACCCCAUUUUCUGUCUUUGCUUUACCUGCCUCCGCUCGAUUUACCCAUUUCAUUUUCAUCCCUUUCAUUCAUUCCGGUUCUCCCACUCCAUCCCUUUUCUCUCUGAUCUUCUGCAUAUUCAGGGACUCCCUCAACUAGGUAUAUUAUUCUUUUAUCCCUCAGCAUUGCUUUUGCUAUCGUAUGCGCAAGACUGUUAACUGCUCUUGGAACAUGUUCAAAUCUGCAUUCCUGGAAUCUUGAUUGUAGCUUAUGAAUAUCACUGAUGUAGGCACAUACUUGUGAUUUAUCUGGGAUAUUAGAUCUGCAUUUCUUUAUUAUCGAUAAUGAAUCUCCUUCAAUAAUGAUUUUUCUCCAUUUCAUUUCUUUACCAAUUUUGAUCGCUUUCCGGCUCGCGAGCGCCUCGGCCGCAAAAGGAGAUGCCACCUGUUGAUAUAUCAUCAAGCAUGAGAGCAAAACCUUGCCUUCGUUGUUUCUAGCCACAAUCCCCACAGCCGAUUGCUUACUCUUUCCAUCAUAUGAUGCAUCAAAGUUUAUCUUCACAAUCUGAUCAGGUGGCUUCUUCCAUUUGCUUGUCAAUUUAUAUGAUUGUGCUCUACUUUUUCCUAUCCCGUCCAACUCUGUUAUGUAGCUACUAACGAAUCGGCCUAUUUCUUUUCCAGAUUUGCUCACUUUAUUAUGCACUCUGUUAUUUCUAUCCCCCCAUAUAGCCCAUAAUGCACAGCAAAAUAUCCUACACUAAGGGCACGUUUGGUUCGCUCUAUUGCAUUAGAGGUGUAUUGCAUUAGAGGUGUAAUGGAAUAGAGGUGUAAUAGCAAAUUAACUGUUUGGUUGAAUCUAAUGGAAUAGAGGCGUAAUAGUAAAACUGUGUUUGGUUGAAUGUAAUAGAGGUGUAAUAGCAUAAUGGAGAAAACUAAAAUGACCAGAAUACUCUUAGCAUAAAUUUGUUUUGGUAAAUGAUUAUUGUUAUUGUUAUUUAAAUUUUAAUAAGAUUAUUUAUUAUCAAAAAUAAAUAAUUUAAUCAUAUUUAAACAUAAUUAUUAUUAAAUAUAUUAAAUAUAUUAUAAUUAAAAUAUAUACUUUAAUAAAAUUCUUAAUAAUUAAUAUUCUUAUAUGAAUUUAUUCAAAUCAUAAUAUAUGAUACUAUAAAAGAUAAUUUGAAAUGAUUAAUAUUAAAUAUAUUUUAAUUAAAAUAUAUGAUUUAAUAAAAUUUAAAAUAAUUAUAAUUAAUAAAUUAUCUUAUAUGAAUUUGUAUAAUUUAAAAUAAUUAUUAUUACAUAUAAUUUAAUAAGAUAUAAUUUCAUAAAAUUAUUGAUAAUAAAUUUUCUUAUAUGAAUUUAUAUAAUUUAAAAUAAUUUAUAUAAUAAAUUUAUUGUAUAACUUUCUCAAAGAGGUUCUUUCAUUGUCGGGCAUGGGUGUUGAAAUCAAAUACUUUAAGAAAAAUGAAUACUCUGACAGGGGUAUAAAAAAGGGAUACUUCAAGCAAAAUGAAGAGUCGGAGAAACAUAGCUCUGUAUAUUCUCUCAGUUGCUAUAUUUUUUGGUUUUCUUACCUUAUUCUCUGAAUUUUCUUCCUCAAUGAGAUUCUUUUUUAUUUUUUGAUUUUAGCUUUGCCCCUAUGGCAUGAAUCUUGUGAUGAAUUAAAAAAUUAAAGAAAUAUAUAAAAAUGGGUAAAAUUCAAGCAGAUGCAUCGCCAUAUUUCAUCAUUGAUAUGUUGCAUUUUGGAUCAUAAUUCAAAUUCAACUACAAAUUAUAGGUUAAUGGGUUUGAAGCAGCACCAACAACUAUAGCCAUGGGAUUCGACAAAUUGGGAGCAGCAAGAAUUGCAGUAGUGGUGUUUGAUGGAACUGUAGUUCCUACAUUCAAACAAGUUUAGUCAGUUAAGUAUCUAGCAUUUCAAUAUGAUUCAACAAGCAUACAAUUCAAUGUUAUAAGAGGUAAAAGCAUAACAUUUGCCACUCUUAAGUCAUGUCAAUUGUCGGAAGGUAAAUGAGCAGAAUUGCUAAAAGCUGGUGACCUUUAAAGCCAUUAUCAAGCCCAAAAGAAUAGCAAAAUAAAAUAAUUCGUUGUACAUAUCAGAUAUAGAUUUUAAACAUUCGACCCCAGCCUCUCUCAAAACCUUCCCUCUUUUAUUUCGAUGAGGAAAUUACACAAAAAAGGGAAUGGAAAAAAGAAACAACGUAAAAUCCUAACAGCUAUAAUUCCUUAAAAGUUACACCAAGGAGUAUAACUGCACCGCAUCACAUGAUCAACCAGCACCGUUUCUAUUGAAGUUAAUAUAUUGAAAACGGAAAUAUAACUACACUGCACCACACGAUCACCCAGCAUCAUUUCUCUUGAAGUUAAUACAAUACUGUUUUCAACAAAGUUAUAAGCUAGUUAGGGGUCACCACUUCUAAACGCAUAAUAGUAGCAUAGGAGAUACAUGUUUAUGUUUGACCCGUUCUAAGCCAACACCCUUGACUUUGAAAAUUGGAGAAUCUCUAUGGUUCCUUUUCCUUUUCAAUGCCUGGCCCUUUGGCUAACUUGAGCUUUUCUCUUUAUCGUUUACCAUUUUAAUACAUUUUAUAUUUCUUUUCUCUUAAUACUCAUAUUUGGUUUGCCAUUUCCAAGAUUCACGACGGUAGUUAUACAAAGAUGAAUAGGCAUAUUCCUGGACAUAUAUGACAGUUUUAAGUAAAACUGCUUUGCUAUUUAUAGAUCAAUGAUUUAGGCUUGAUUUAUAAAUUACUCGGGCGCAUGCACAUCUCAUAAUCCUUUGUAUUCACCAGUGUGCAUCAAAGACCAUCUAAUAAGAUAAAUCCCAGAAUCAGCCAUAUGACCUCACCUAAGAAUGAAGAGCUCGAUCAGACAAACAAAACCUACGGAGCAUUUUAAUUGCUCUCAUUUCCCGUAUCACUUACAUGAAUAACAAUAGUUUUGGUUAAUUUCAUUUCCAAGUCAAAUUACAUCAGAUGUUCACUAGAAAGAAUCAGAAGAGUAAAUUUGUUAAUCACAUCAAAGCAGUGCUUGAAUAUUCAUACACAGAUGACCACAUAAUUCUCUAAAAAGGACUUCUUGAAAGCUUCUAUUGCAAUCUCGCUAAUGACCAAAGCAAAUAGAUAAGACUUUAAUUAAAACAAAGACAAGACUUUAAUUAAAACAAAGACAACAACCUAAAGUAGCAAAGGAAACUAAAAAACUAUUGGAAACAACCACACGAUUAUUGAGGCAAUGAGGUCUAAUUUUUUUACAGAAUCAUAUGCCUAUUUCAUGCAUAAAUGACUGCAUAAGUCUACGCAAAGGAUAUCUUUAGUUUCAAGUUCAAUACUGCUAAUGACCAAUGUAUAUGAACAAGUCAACACCAUAAUUAAACAAGAUGACAAAAUGAGAUACUCCAUCCAUUCGUGGCCCAAUGAAGUUGCUAAAAAAAAUAGAAUACCAUUGAAAAAAUCACAGGCAUAUAUUUUUACUCAAGCAAAAGCUUGUACCAUGAUGUUGCCUUGGAUCAUAAAUCACCAUCUGAGAUGUAUCUAGACGAAGGACUUUAAGAGAAGCAGUCGGAACACCUGAUGGUGCUGAUGUACUCUUAUCUGCACAAAUGAAAACAAAAAUUAGCCCAAUGAGUAUUAAUAGUAACCUGGAACAAGAAACGGUGUACCUGUCAUUGCAGAUCCAUUAGAGAGAGCUGACUUAUCCACCUUCUUACCAAUGUUUUUAGAGAGCCACUGAAGAGAAUAUCAAUGAGUUCAAAAAUUAGCAAAUGCAAUUUCAAUGAUUCAAACAUAGAGGUACAGAAGCAAUUUUAAGAGUUAUACUUACAGUUUUCAAAGGAAAAAGAAAUUACACAUAAACAAGUCCCAAAUUUUUUCAUAUCUAUUGCUGAGACAUGAGCAACAAAUUUGCGGUUUUAUGAAAGAACAAUAAAGCAUGUUCAAGCUUAAAGCAUCUAAAAAGUAGGUGUUAAUCAUGUUAUCCGGACAGGUUUCAAUAAUCUAGGGCAAGAAAAGAUCAUAACAUUUCAUUUUGACUCGAGGUUCCAAAGGCAGAUGUGCAUCCGGUACAAUCAGAAACUCUAAAAGAAGCCAAAUUAUGCAUCGGCCUUUGCAAUGACAUUACAAUGACCAUAACAAACACCAAGGUUAUGACUAAAAUAAAAGAAUAACAGCCCUAGUUGCUGAUACGUUAUAGAAAAAGUUGGAAAUGCUACAUGGUUAUCUUGACAUGGAAAUUUCCGACCUCAUUACAUCACUGAACUUUAAAAUUUCCCAUCAGUUGUAAACAUAGCAUAUUACUUUUAUUUACGACAUACUUCUCAAAUACAUCAGAUCAACCUAAAUAGUCAUCAAUUGUAUAACACUCACUGCCACCCUCAAGAUAUUGAUAGAUAUCUCUACAACUAUCUUUAUCAUGGAAGAUUAAGAAGAAGGCCCUUGUUGCAAGACCAAGUACCAAAUAAGGCUACACAGCUAUGGCUCAUUCUUCUGUGGACUUAUUUGGCUAAGAUACUUGCUAGAGGAACUUCAUUCUUCUUCUUAGGUUUGCACCUACACGAUGUGUGUGUAUGUGUUUAUCUUUGUCCCCUUCUAAAAUUUUCAAUACUACUCAAAACUGCUACCAAGCAUAAAGCCUCCAUUCUUUUGGCUACUAGCUUCAACAUAGAUGCCAAAAUGCUGCUUGCAAAAACAGGCAUAAACCAAAAUCAGGUAAUCAUCAAAAUCCCCACUUAAAGAGCAAAUCACCAUUCACAGACCAGGGCGGCACCAAACAUACAACUAAUACAGUUUUCUUAAUACUAUUAACCCUACAUCCAAUUUUUAAGAAGUCUUACUAACAAAUAUUUCUACCUUCUUGCACACAAAUAGUUAUUAGUACUAAGCCAAUGUUUAAUGAAUGUCCUAGUCAGACCCUCCUUCAGUCAUAAUCGAAAGUUGUACUGCUUAACCAUCCUCUCUAUUACCAAAAAUUACUACUCUUAGAGGGUAUUACCAAACAUAGUUCCUGUUCUAACUAAUAGUCUGCAUUAUGUCACAAGUUUUCUCCCUCAAGAUUUCUAAGAUUAACCCAGUUAAAUAUGCAAACCAACAACCUUAGUAAUUUUCCUUAUCAUGCAACUGAUUUCUCUUUUCCAUUUUCUGAUUGAAAUGUUCCAUUUAUGAGAAGUGUGAAAUCGAAAGAAAGAGAAGAAAGAGGGGCUGCUGCUGCUGCUGCUAGAAUUUCCAAUUUUGUGAAUAUAUUGAAGAGAAAAAGAGAGGGUUUUGGUGUGCGGAGUAGAUAGUGUUGGGAGGAAAUGGGGAAGGGAAAUUUGAUGCCGAGACGAGAAGAAACGAUGACGACAGAUUAAUCAACGGAAUCAGUGGGAAAUAGGAGGAGAAAAUGAUUAGGACGGAAGAGGAGAGGGUCGGGUAGGGAGGGAGGGUAAAACAGAGAGAUGGGGAGGGAGGCCGGGCGUAAUGGCUAAUACAACGAUUUGGGAACGGAUUGUAAAACACGGGAAUUUGGGGAUUAGGGGCGUAAUGUAAUACGCGCGUAAUGGCUAAUACAGCGAACCAAACGUCGGAUUAGGGGCGUAAUGUAAUACGCGCGUAAUCGGGGCGUAAUGGAUUGGGUAAUACGGCGAACCAAACACGCUGUAAGAUUCCGAGUUCUUUGCAAAAACUCCGGUAAGCCACUCUGCAAACUCCAACUGUCUUUCGUGCACCAAAACAUUACAUGGUAAUUCCUUCCAUACUGAUUUUGACACAGGGCAUUCGCAAAAAAGGUGAUUCAUACUCUCUGUUCCGACUCCACAUCGUGGGCACACUAUUGUGUUUAUUAGUUUUUUCUGAAGUAGAUUAAGCCGUGUAGCUAGGAAAUUCCACGAUAUCUUCCAAAUUGUAAUUUUGAUUUUUAAGGGAAGAUUCAAUAGCCAUAAUUUUUAGUAAAAUUCCUUGUAGCCUUCUUGUAAAGCAUAAGCUCUAGGAUCAUCCUCGAUAUUCUGUAAUAGUUUAUAGGAGCUACGAACUGUGAAUUUGCCCGAUGCCUCAGCACUCCAGACCCGGAAGUCAUCAUGAGGAUCCUCUGCCAGUGGAAUACCAAUAAUCUUCUCAGCUAAAUCCUCCGGAAAGGUAGAAAUUAUCAACUCUUCCUUCCAUGUUCUAUUAUUUUGAUUGAUUAGAUCGGCAACUUUACAAUAAUUCAAAUUUGUGACUAUAGCUGAUAAUCUGUUUCUUCCCACAUCGGGGAUCCAAUUGUCGCAACCAACUGUAAUUUGUUCUCCCCUUCCUACUCUUCAGCACAUACCUUCCCUUAAAAUACCCUUUGUAGCCCAAAUACUUUUCCACGUAUACAAAGCAUUGUUCCCCAAACAUGAGUCAAGGAAAUUAUUAUUCGAAAAUAUUUUACUUUUAAAACUUGAGCUAAUAAUGAAUCUGGAUAGUUCAAUAUUCUCCAACCCUGUUUAGCUAAUAAUGAGACGUUAAAUUUAGCUAUAUCUCUGAAUCUCAAACCCCUUUCUCUCCUUUUGACCGGCACAAGUAAGUCCAUUUACACCAAUGAAUUCCUCUUCUCCCAUGAGCUUUUUGCCACCAGAACUUAGCAAAAACGCCUUCUAUAUCUCUGCAAAAUGACUUCGGUAAUUAAAAACAAGACAUUGCAUAUGUUGGAAUAGCUUGUAGGACCGACUUCAAAAAUACUUCCUUGCCUCCUUGCGACAACAUUCUGGUGCUCCACUGUCGAUUCUACUGUAAAUUUUCUCUUUGUGAUAUUGAAAAGAUUCCUUUUUCCGUCUGCCCACCAUAUUCGGAAGUCCUAGAUAUCUUUCCAUAUUUGUUGAGGUUUUUAUCCCCAUAAUUGCCGCGACUUUGUUCUUUUUGUCUUCUGUAGUAUUAGUGCUGAAAAAGAUUGUAGAUUUGUUAAAAUUAACACAUUGACCGAAACUUUUACCAUAUUCUUUCAAAAUUUCUUUUAGCACCGUUGCCCCCUUCCUGUUGCUUCCCCAAACAAAAUACAAUAAUUUGCAAACAGUAGAUGUGUAAUUUCCGGGCCUCUCCUACUUUCCUUUGCUCCUUUUAACAACCUUUCCUUUGAUGCCAGUCUCAUCAAGGCUGAUAACCCAUCAUUGCACAUUAAAAAGAGAAAAGGGCUCAAAGGAUCUCCUUGUCGCAAUCCUCUUGUUGGCUUAAAACUUCGCCCAUAACCUCCAUUAGUAUUCACAACAUAGGACGUAGUAGAAAUGCAUUUCAUGACCAACUCUACCCAUUCUAUAUCAAAACCCAUAUAUAACAUGACUUCUUUUAAAUAACCUCAUUCAACCCUGUCAUAGGCUUUACUCAUAUCAAGCUUUAUGGCCAUAUAUCCUUUUUUCCCUCUUCGUUUUUGUCUAAAUGUAUGCAGAAUCUCAUAGGCAAGUAGCACAUUAUCUGUAAUUAGCCUUCUUGGGACGAACGCACUCUAAAAUGCAUCAAUACACCUUCCAAUACCGAUUUGAAGUCGAUUUGCAAUUGUUUUUGCCACCACUUUAUAAAGGACUGAACAUAAACUAAUAGGUCUGAAAUUGGCUAAGCUAGUAGGGUUAGAGAUUUUUGGAAUCAACACAAUCUCUGAUUGAAAGAACCAAAAUUUUCACCAUUAUUAAGAAUUCCUGGACAGAAAUCAACAAUUUCUUGCCAAAAUUUUUGAAAGAAGAUUGCUGGAAAACCAUCCCGACCUGGUACAUUUGUGGGGCCCAUUCCUUUCAAAGCCUCAUAAACUUCUUCUGCUGUAUAUUUCUUCAUCAAGGCUCUGUUAAUUUCUACUGGAAUCUUACUAUCAAUGCCUGUUAGAAGAUGAGAAGGAUAUACUACUUCACUUGAUGUAAAUAAAUUCUGAAAGUACCUGGUAGCCACUUCAUUAAUCUCACUAGCUUCAUUAGCCUCUCCCCAUCUUCCAGAUCUAACUUUGAAACUGUAUUGAUUUUCCUCCACAUUGUGGCGAAUCUAUGGAAAAAAGUCGUAUUUCGAUCUCCUACCUUAAGCCAAUUUACCCUUGCCCUUUGUUCCCAAUAGAGCUCAUCCUUCUCAAUCUCCAUGUUUAAAUGAAUUUUGGUAUCGAUUAUUUUUGCCAUGACUUCAUCACUCCUAUCCUGCUCUAUUAAUAUUUCAAGCUGCUUAGUAAGCUUUUUCUUCAAACCUUCUCUUCAUUCUUUUAUUGAAUUUGCCCAUAACUUUAAAUCAAUCUUUAAUCUUUCGAGCUUGUCAUAAACUGUGCCUACUCCUGACUCCCAGGAAUCUCUAACUACUUCCUCAAAUGUAUCCUCUAUGAUCCACCAUUCCUCAAAUUUAAACCUUACAUUGCCUUUAUGAGUGUCUCCACAUUUUGCAUUAACAAGAAUAGAACAAUGAUCAGACAUGGAAUGAGUUAAAUGCUUGAUAAUACCUGCUGGAAAUAAUUGCUUCCACUUGUUGUUUGCCACCCCCUUAUCAAGUCUCUCUCUAAUAUUCGUCUCCGAUGAAUUUCCCUUUUCCCAAGUAAACAAGGCCCCUGAAUAACCCAAAUCUUCAAGUAAACAAUCUCCUAAAGCCUCUCUAAACGCCUCCAUUCGACUCUCCUCCAUUGGUGCGCCCUCGUAUUUUUCAUAAGUAAAAAGUAUCUCAUUCAAAUCACAGCAUACCAGCCAGGGAUGCCUCUUAUCUUGUCCCAACUUUUUUAGCAAAUUCUAUGUAGCACUCUUAUCUUUUAGCAUAGGGCGAACCAUAAAACCCCGUGAAUCUCCAAUCAACUUUGACUUCUACAUCACCUUCUUUAAUCGUAGCAUCAAUAUGGUUCUUGGAAUAACUUUGUAAACAUACUUCAAUGUCUCCUUUCCAUAUCAAGCAUAAUCCUCCUCGCGAACCCUCAGCUUCAAUGUCAAUACCAUUGUUGAAACCACAUCUCAUUCUAACUUUUUCCAUGCGAUGUUUAUCUAACUUUGUCUCCAUUAAGAAGACCAUUGGGGGAUUGUGUUGCUUUAGAAGAAAGCAAAACCUCCUCACUGCCCAUGGACUCCCCAAUCCACGAACAUUUCAACUUAUUAUUUUCGUAGCGUCCGGUCGGCUUGCCAAUUGGCAGCCACCGAUCUUAGUAAAUGUUGUACCUCUGUUUGCUCUGAACACUCCAACGUCCCUUUUGAGCAGGCUCUUUCACAUUCCUCCACGUCAGCCAUUUUCUCUCUUUUACUUCCAUCUCUUUCAUCACUCCUCAGACUACCUUCUUCUGUAAACUUUCUCUUCCUCAUACUAUUAACAUCCGUUAAUUCUACCUCCAUAUCCAAUGUCUUUAUUCUUUUCCAACUUUUUCUCUUUUCUUGAUUAAUGUUUGUACACACUUGUGCUUUGCUACUAUCCAUCUUCACGACCUCCUCUGGCCCAAAUUUGCUUUCCUGCUUUUGCAGCAACUCUUUUCCUCCCAUCAGCUCCAUAUUUUCUUGGAUUUCCUUUAUCUAAUUCUUCCUUUCAUCAAGCAAUACUUUACCUCCUGCGUAUGAGCUCUGAACUCUCGCAUUCCUCCACAUAGCACUAAACUGCAAACUUUCUUUUCCAACUUGUUUUGAUUCUGCUUUUAAAGCCAUUGAAUAAGGUGGAUCACUACUUAUUUUGCCUUUUCUUACAGGUAUUAUUUGAGUACAAUCUGUAAGUUCAUGCCCCAUUCUUCCAUAGCCAAAACAAAAGGAACCCACAUUUUCUUAAUAUUAAUGCUUGAGACGAAAAUUCCUCGACAUAGUGGUUUCCGGAUAUCCAAACUAAUUCUGAGUCGGUAGCAAGUAUCGCAUAUUUCAGAUUUGAUAACCCCCCGAAUGUGACACCAAUUGCAUGCAUGAGAUCCUUCUUAUCAAACUCUGGUAAGUGCAAAUCAAUUUUUAUCCAGAACGGUGAAGAGGUCAUGCUAAUCUGAUCUCUUUCCAUCUCUUGGCUUAAUCUAUUGAAUAAAAUAAGACUCUUACGAAAAAGGCACGGUCUUCCCUCCAAAAUUGACUCCAAAUCUUCCUCCAAUUCAAAAACUAUUAAGAAUAGGUUUUGACCUACCCUCUGAAUCUCAAUUUUUCUAGGUCUUCCAAAUACUUCUCAGCUGUGCCCUAAAGCUUUCUGGGUUGUAGAGUUUUUCUGUCCAAACUGUGCAUAUCAACGUUGGUUUGGAAUUUGGUACCGCCUUCGACCCCUUAACCGUUAAUUGAAUGAGUUCAACUGCUAAAAGGGAGAUCUCAUCCCUUCCCUCUCUAUCCUCACCACCGCUUUCUUCCAUCCCAAGCCGCAGAAGAUACUGCUUUCUCUAGGACACUACGAAGCACACUUGGGAGCACAGAGAUAAUUAUUAUGUUAUUAAAAAAAUAAUAUAAUCAUACAAAAAUGUUAUGGAUGUGUUUUAUAAAAUAUGAAAAUGUAG
This 10641-nucleotide long non-coding RNA is filed under the name Gossypium barbadense (sea-island cotton). RNAcentral describes it as "long non-coding RNA (GBAR_LNC020896)". The record is from RNAcentral. Lineage: Eukaryota; Viridiplantae; Streptophyta; Magnoliopsida; Malvales; Malvaceae.